UGACAUUACCUAUAGAAGAAGCACCGGCUAACUCCGUGCCAGCAGCCGCGGUAAUACGGAGGGUGCAAGCGUUAAUCGGAAUUACUGGGCGUAAAGCGUGCGUAGGCGGUUAGUUUAGUCAGAUGUGAAAGCCCCGGGCUUAACCUGGGAACUGCAUUUGAUACUGGCUGACUAGAGUUUAAUAGAGGAGAGUGGAAUUUCAGGUGUAGCGGUGAAAUGCGUAGAGAUCUGAAGGAACACCAGUGGCGAAGGCGACUCUCUGGAUUAAAACUGACGCUGAGGUACGAAAGCGUGGGUAGCAAACAGGAUUAGAUACCCUGGUAGUCCACGCCGUAAACGAUGUCAACUAGCCGUUGGGCCUAUAUACAGGCUUAGUGGCGCAGCUAACGCAUUAAGUUGACCGCCUGGGGAGUACGGCCGCAAGGUUAAAACUCAAAUGAAUUGACGG
RNAcentral lists this ribosomal RNA (448 nucleotides) under uncultured bacterium. RNAcentral's name for it is "bacterial SSU rRNA". It matches the Rfam family "Bacterial small subunit ribosomal RNA", at positions 470 to 916 of the family's 1533-position model. The record is from RNAcentral.